Molecule: ribosomal RNA, 333 nt
Filed under: Salmonella enterica
Lineage: Bacteria; Pseudomonadati; Pseudomonadota; Gammaproteobacteria; Enterobacterales; Enterobacteriaceae
Also listed under: 1 other name
Description: bacterial SSU rRNA
Rfam family: Bacterial small subunit ribosomal RNA
Source: RNAcentral
CGUCAAGUCAUCAUGGCCCUUACGACCAGGGCUACACACGUGCUACAAUGGCGCAUACAAAGAGAAGCGACCUCGCGAGAGCAAGCGGACCUCAUAAAGUGCGUCGUAGUCCGGAUUGGAGUCUGCAACUCGACUCCAUGAAGUCGGAAUCGCUAGUAAUCGUGGAUCAGAAUGCCACGGUGAAUACGUUCCCGGGCCUUGUACACACCGCCCGUCACACCAUGGGAGUGGGUUGCAAAAGAAGUAGGUAGCUUAACCUUCGGGAGGGCGCUUACCACUUUGUGAUUCAUGACUGGGGUGAAGUCGUAACAAGGUAACCGUAGGGGAACCUGC